AUUGAACGCUGGCGGCAGGCCUAACACAUGCAAGUCGAGCGGAUGAAGGGAGCUUGCUCCUGGAUUCAGCGGCGGACGGGUGAGUAAUGCCUAGGAAUCUGCCUGGUAGUGGGGAUAACGUCCGGAAACGGGCGCUAAUACCGCAUACGUCCUGAGGGAGAAAGGGGGGGAUCUUCGGACCUCACGCUAUCAGAUGAGCCUAGGUCGGAUUAGCUAGUUGGUGGGGUAAAGGCCUACCAAGGCGACGAUCCGUAACUGGUCUGAGAGGAUGAUCAGUCACACUGGAACUGAGACACGGUCCAGACUCCUACGGGAGGCAGCAGUGGGGAAUAUUGGACAAUGGGCGAAAGCCUGAUCCAGCCAUGCCGCGUGUGUGAAGAAGGUCUUCGGAUUGUAAAGCACUUUAAGUUGGGAGGAAGGGCAGUAAGUUAAUACCUUGCUGUUUUGACGUUACCAACAGAAUAAGCACCGGCUAACUUCGUG
This 483-nucleotide ribosomal RNA is filed under the name uncultured bacterium. Its description in RNAcentral is "partial 16S ribosomal RNA". It matches the Rfam family "Bacterial small subunit ribosomal RNA", at positions 30 to 507 of the family's 1533-position model. The record is from RNAcentral.